AUUUGAGUCCUGCUAACUUUUUAGUUUAAGAUCUUCAUUUCUUUUUUCAUAAAAUAUAUUGCGCAUGAGCUCCUGAGAAUUGCUAUCUGCUACAAAUGACAUUUUGUUAAAUGACAGCAAGAGGGUGGAAUUUUUAGUUUGGUAAGAAAAUCCAUUGGACCAAGUUCUUAUAAUAUGUUUUAAUCUUUUGUUUUUCCCCACUUUUAUACUCUGUUUGCGAUUAUAUCUCGGGUUCCUAUCUCUGGUUCCUAUCUCUGGUUCCUUUGUUCUUCUGUUCUUCAUUUGUAUCUGUAUUCUAUUUUUGUUCUCUUGUGAUCUAACUUUUGGUUACUUUUUGUUAUGCAAACAGUUUGUGCACUGGCAUUAACAUACAUCAUGGGGCAAAGAUACCUUGAAACUUCAAAAAUAAUGCCUGCUGGAGUUGUUGCUGCUCUCAGUGCACUUAUGUCUGGCUUCUAUCUCUACAAGAUUGCGACCGGUGGGAAUCACUUCCCAGCCAAAGCAGAGUGAAGUUGAGUUCUCUUACUGUGCAAGCAUAGCGAAGGCAGCAACUAUGUUUAGAAACGAGGGAAUAUUAACCAGGUUCUUUGUAUUGUGACUUUUUUGUUGCAUCGAAUGCAUGUUAUACCUGCUGGCUUCCAUUAGUGACAAUGAAGGGAAAGUACAUUAUUUACAGAUUAUCCCAAGUAGGAAAUACGAAAUAUCAUGCAA
Molecule: long non-coding RNA, 711 nt
Organism: Ananas comosus (pineapple)
Lineage: Eukaryota; Viridiplantae; Streptophyta; Magnoliopsida; Poales; Bromeliaceae
Exons: 2
Source: RefSeq, a predicted model, not a curated record